Molecule: ribosomal RNA, 253 nt
Filed under: uncultured bacterium
Lineage: Bacteria
Description: partial 16S ribosomal RNA
Rfam family: Bacterial small subunit ribosomal RNA
Source: RNAcentral
UACGAAGGGGGCUAGCGUUGCUCGGAAUCACUGGGCGUAAAGCGCACGUAGGCGGACUCUUAAGUCGGGGGUGAAAUCCUGGAGCUCAACUCCAGAACUGCCUUCGAUACUGGGAGUCUCGAGUCCGGGAGAGGUGAGUGGAACUGCGAGUGUAGAGGUGAAAUUCGUAGAUAUUCGCAAGAACACCAGUGGCGAAGGCGGCUCACUGGCCCGGUACUGACGCUGAGGUGCGAAAGCGUGGGGAGCAAACAGG